Molecule: ribosomal RNA, 494 nt
Filed under: uncultured bacterium
Lineage: Bacteria
Description: partial 16S ribosomal RNA
Rfam family: Bacterial small subunit ribosomal RNA
Source: RNAcentral
GACGAACGCUGGCGGCGUGCUUAACACAUGCAAGUCGAACGGUGAAGCGCCUUCCUUUUUGGUGGGUGGGGAUGAGGGGCGAACGGGUGAGUAACACGUGAGCAACCUGCCCCCUUCUUCUGGAUAACCGCAUGAAAGAGUGGCUAAUACGGGAUACUCUGGGUCUGUCGCAGGAUGGGUCUGGGAAAGAUAUUGUGUCGGUGGGGGAUGGGCUCGCGGCCUAUCAGCUUGUUGGUGGGGUGAUGGCCUACCAAGGCGGUGGCGGGUAGCCGGCCUGAGAGGGUGCACGGCCGCACUGGGACUGAGCCACGGCCCGGACUCGUACGGGAGGCAGCAGUGAGGAGUAGUGCACGAUGGGCGUAAGGCUGAUGCGGCGGCGGCGCGUGAGAGAUGGAGGGCUGCGGGUUGUGCACCUCUUUCGCCAGUGAAGCAGUCCUGCCUCGUUUGUGGGUGGGUUGACGGUAGCUGGAGAAGAAGCGCCGGCUAACUACGUG